GUUUUCGUAGUGUAAGCAAAACGGCAGUUUUUCAAGUUGUUGAUCCUAGUUAGAGUCUAGGCGAAAAUG
This 69-nucleotide transfer RNA is filed under the name Parapercis sexfasciata (grubfish). Its description in RNAcentral is "tRNA-Glu". It matches the Rfam family "tRNA". Rfam says of the family: Transfer RNA (tRNA) molecules are approximately 80 nucleotides in length. Lineage: Eukaryota; Metazoa; Chordata; Actinopteri; Uranoscopiformes; Pinguipedidae. The record is from RNAcentral.